UUAGUUCUUAGUCACUCUGACU
This 22-nucleotide microRNA is filed under the name Haplochromis burtoni (Burton's mouthbrooder). RNAcentral describes it as "abu-miR-148b". Its record names the gene abu-miR-148b. The record is from miRBase by way of RNAcentral. Lineage: Eukaryota; Metazoa; Chordata; Actinopteri; Cichliformes; Cichlidae.